Molecule: ribosomal RNA, 540 nt
Filed under: uncultured Ascomycota
Lineage: Eukaryota; Fungi; Ascomycota
Description: SSU rRNA
Rfam family: Eukaryotic small subunit ribosomal RNA
Source: RNAcentral
GGCAAGUCUGGUGCCAGCAGCCGCGGUAAUUCCAGCUCCAAUAGCGUAUAUUAAAGUUGUUGCAGUUAAAAAGCUCGUAGUUGAACCUUGGGCCUGGCUGGCCGGUCCGCCUCACCGCGUGUACUGGUCCGGCCGGGCCUUUCCUUCUGGGGAACCUCAUGCCCUUCACUGGGCGUGUUGGGGAACCAGGACUUUUACUUUGAAAAAAUUAGAGUGUUCAAAGCAGGCCUUUGCUCGAAUACAUUAGCAUGGAAUAAUAGAAUAGGACGUGUGGUUCUAUUUUGUUGGUUUCUAGGACCGCCGUAAUGAUUAAUAGGGAUAGUCGGGGGCAUCAGUAUUCAAUCGUCAGAGGUGAAAUUCUUGGAUUGAUUGAAGACUAACUACUGCGAAAGCAUUUGCCAAGGAUGUUUUCAUUAAUCAGUGAACGAAAGUUAGGGGAUCGAAGACGAUCAGAUACCGUCGUAGUCUUAACCAUAAACUAUGCCGACUAGGGAUCGGACGGUGUUAGUAUUUUGACCCGUUCGGCGCCUUACGGGAAAC